UACCUGCAGCUCGAGUGGUGGCCGCUAUUAUUGGGCCUAAAACGUCCGUAGCCGGUUUAAUAAAUGCCUGGGUAAACCGUGUAGCUUAACUAUACGAAUUCCGGGUAGACUGUUAGACUUGAGACCGGGAGAAGCUAGAGGUACUCCUGGGGUAGAGGUGAAAUUCUGUAAUCCUAGGGGGACCACCAGUGGCGAAGGCGUCUAGCUAGAACGGGUCUGACGGUGAGGGACGAAGCCCUGGGGCGCAAACCGGAUUAGAUACCCGGGUAGUCCAGGGUGUAAACGCUGCUUGCUUGAUGUUAGUUGGGCUCUGAGCCCAAUUAGUGUCGGAGAGAAGUUGUUAAGCAAGCUGCCUGGGAAGUACGGUCGCAAGACUGAAACUUAAAGAAAUUGGCGGGGGAGCACAGCAACGGGUGGAGCGUGCGGUUU
RNAcentral lists this ribosomal RNA (429 nucleotides) under uncultured archaeon. RNAcentral describes it as "bacterial SSU rRNA". It matches the Rfam family "Archaeal small subunit ribosomal RNA", at positions 474 to 903 of the family's 1478-position model. The record is from RNAcentral.